Molecule: ribosomal RNA, 254 nt
Filed under: uncultured bacterium
Lineage: Bacteria
Description: partial 16S ribosomal RNA
Rfam family: Bacterial small subunit ribosomal RNA
Source: RNAcentral
UACGUAGGGCGCAAGCGUUGUCCGGAAUUAUUGGGCGUAAAGAGCUCGUAGGCGGUCUGUCGCGUCUGCCGUGAAAACCCGAGGCUUAACCUCGUGGCUUGCGGUGGAUACGGGCAGACUAGAGGUAGGUAGGGGAGAAUGGAAUUCCCGGUGUAGCGGUGAAAUGCGCAGAUAUCGGGAGGAACACCGGUGGCGAAGGCGGGAUCCUGGGCCAGUACUGACGCUGAGGAGCGAAAGCGUGGGGAGCAAACAGG